CUUUUUGUAAAAUGUUUGCGGUGUGUAUUUGUAGUAAUGUAAUGUAUAUAACCCAAUAAUAUAAAAUAAAUAUAAUGUAUAUAUUAAUGAGUGUAUUUUGUAAAUAGUUUUAUUAUACUCGUAUUUUUGUUUGUAUUUAUAGGUUAGUUCAAUAUUGCUUAAAAUAUUUAGGGGUUUAAUAAGUACAUACAAUGCGAGCGAAAUUUUAAGAUACAUGAAUGAUACAUAAUGUAUAUAUAUAAUGUAUAUUAUAUGUAAUGUAUAUUUUAAUGUGUGUAUUUUGUAAAUAGUUUUAUUAUAUUUUUGAUUGUACAUGUAGGUUAGUACACUAUUGCUUAAAAUAUUUAACAAUUUAAUAGGUACAUAGAACGCAUGUGCAAUUUUAAAGUACAUAAAUGAUAGUAAUAUAAACCGGACUAGUCACUUUUGUUUUCGUAGCCGCGAAAGAUCUUCUUCAGACUUUAUAAGCCGGCCAGGCAUUCCAUCCUUUUCUCGUACAUACACCUUGCCGUUGGCAGUCCAGCAUUGCUCAUAUUCACUGCUUUUAACAAACUCUUUCGCCAGGUAGUGUAACCGUUUCGUCAUAGUAGUGAGAACUUCUGAGAUAUAUAGUGGUUGCUUAGGAACUUUUUCAUUCACGUGGUUUGAAUUAAGGCGGUUUUUCGUAUUUUGUUUAUUAAAGGAUUUAGUUGAGCUUAGGAACUGUUCUUUAAGUUUUGGAGACGCAAAUUCAACUAUAACUGUACCCAACGAGUCUGUCUUAUUCUUUAAUCGAAAGAUGUUCUGAAUCUCACUUCCAUUAAGCGGUUGAUUGACGAUGUUACUAAUUUUUUUUACUGAGUUAAUAAGCGUUUCUCGAGUUUCUGGUGUUGUGGACGGAAGAUUUUUAAUCUCUAAGGAAGCCGCUUUAAUAUGCUUUUCCAAAUAGUCAACCUUACCCUCCAGAGCCUUUAUAGUUUUUUUGUUGUUGUUGCAUUCUUUUUUUAAAUUAUCUAUCUCCAGAAGGGCAUCAUCGUACUUAUCAGAGAGGAAUUUAAUAGUAUUCUGAAUUUCAAUAUUUUGUGUGCGUAUUUCAGCGUUUUGAGUCCUUAUGAUAGCAUUUUGAGAUCUAAUUUCGUCAAGAGCUGAAUGUAAGGAAUCCAUUUUAUCAUUCUGCUGGUUUUGUUUUGUUACUAGUUGAGAAAACAUACCCUUCAUCUCAUUCAUCAUUAUCUCCAUUCGUUCCCAAUCAUUAUCACUACGCUUUCUCUUCCUAUGGGUAGUAUUUGAAAUAUCAUCAUCACCUUUAUAGUCCUUGGAAGUAUUUGAUGUUAAGUUAGGCUCAGAGGCGUAAUGAGACGACGCUGGACUAUUAGGUGGGGUUCUUUUCAUAGAGGAAAGCAUUGGAUUUAUUAUCUG
Molecule: unclassified non-coding RNA, 1398 nt
Filed under: Melitaea cinxia (Glanville fritillary)
Lineage: Eukaryota; Metazoa; Arthropoda; Insecta; Lepidoptera; Nymphalidae
Description: misc RNA ENSMCXG00005010569.1
Source: RNAcentral